Long non-coding RNA from Carassius carassius (crucian carp), 410 nucleotides. RefSeq lists it as uncharacterized. NCBI's taxonomy places the organism in Eukaryota, Metazoa, Chordata, Actinopteri, Cypriniformes, Cyprinidae. The record is from RefSeq and is a predicted model, not a curated record. The transcript is spliced from 2 exons.
CACAUAGACUUGUGAACCAGAAAAAAUGUAUAAACUUCUCCACUGGUGAAAACCAAGUACAUCAAGAGCAAAACAGGACAGCUGGUGGUUUAGCCUAAAACAAGCAGUCAAAGAAUGAAAAGGUUUUGUUUCUGAGGAACAUUUAAGGUUUUCUUUUUUUAUGCCGGUUUUUGAUUUAUGAGCUAACUAAGAUCUGUGGUUCACAUUACUUUGAGACUUUCCUGUUUUUCUUUUUUUUUUAAAUUACAAAAGUUCUGACAAUGAUUCAUCGAACACCUAAAGUCACAUUUUUAUUGUGUAGUCCUUCAUAAACUCAGAAAAAUGUGUAAACAGUUGUACUUUUUUGCUUGUUGAUACUUACUAAAAUUAAAAUGUGUUUUACCUUAAAGGUGCUGUAUGUAAGAUUCUGA